RNAcentral lists this ribosomal RNA (484 nucleotides) under uncultured bacterium. RNAcentral's name for it is "partial 16S ribosomal RNA". It matches the Rfam family "Bacterial small subunit ribosomal RNA", at positions 30 to 507 of the family's 1533-position model. The record is from RNAcentral.
AUUGAACGCUGGCGGCAGGCCUAACACAUGCCAGUCGAGCGGAUGAAGGGAGCUUGCUCCUGGAUUCAGCGGCGGACGGGUGAGUAAUGCCUAGGAAUCUGCCUGGUAGUGGGGGAUAACGUCCGGAAACGGGCGCUAAUACCGCAUACGUCCUGAGGGAGAAAGUGGGGGAUCUUCGGACCUCACGCUAUCAGAUGAGCCUAGGUCGGAUUAGCUAGUUGGUGGGGUAAAGGCCUACCAAGGCGACGAUCCGUAACUGGUCUGAGAGGAUGAUCAGUCACACUGGAACGGAGACACGGUCCAGACUACUACGGGAGGCAGCAGUGGGGAAUAUUGGACAAUGGGCGAAAGCCUGAUCCAGCCAUGCCGCGUGUGUGAAGAAGGUCUUCGGAUUGUAAAGCACUUUAAGUUGGGAGGAAGGGCAGUAAGUUAAUACCUUGCUGUUUUGACGUUACCAACAGAAUAAGCACCGGCUAACUUCGUG